Long non-coding RNA from Hippoglossus stenolepis (Pacific halibut), 665 nucleotides. RefSeq lists it as uncharacterized. The record is from RefSeq and is a predicted model, not a curated record. NCBI's taxonomy places the organism in Eukaryota, Metazoa, Chordata, Actinopteri, Pleuronectiformes, Pleuronectidae. The transcript is spliced from 3 exons.
GGAAUGAGAGAAAGAAAAAAUAGAAAAUAGAGAGAGAGAGAAGGGUGGCAACUUGAACAGGUGGUUGUGCCAAUAAAGCUAUAAAAGGUUUGUCUCUGUGCUUUUAUCUCAUUCUCUUCAACUCUUUUGCUCUACACAAGCUAUCAUAGAACUUUGCCACCAUGUCAGGACUCGCCCAUGCAAUUUCCUUACUCACGGAUACCUUUGAAAAACAUGCUGGAAAAGACGGAGAUUGCAAAACCUUGAGCAAGGCAGAACUUGCUGAGCUGCUCCGUAGUGAGUUUCCUGAGAAAGGCAACAGCAGAGCUGUAGUGGAAAGUUUCUUCAAAAUGCUGGAUAACGACAGAAAUGGUGCUGUUGACUUCACGGAGUUUGUCACUUUUGUGACGGCCCUCGCCGUGAUGAUGAAACGAUGAAACGUUCCCCAGAACGUUCUCGUUGGUUUAGAAUUAAAAGUUGAGUGUUCCGACUUGAACCAGCGACACAGUCACAUUUAUAAAACAUACAUGUCAUUAUCAUAUGUUCUGAGGAGGAAAAGUUGGUCAAACACACAAUUAUAAUCAUAGAUUCCGUAGUUUAUUAUGGAGAGUCGACUUGAAUGUGUUGUAUCACUGAGGAGUGACCAAAACAUUCCUGAAAUAAAUGAUGUGACACUUUAAAACUUU